GGAGUUGUGGCUCAGAGGUAGAGCGCUCGCCUAGCAUGUGAGAGGCGGUUCGAUCCUCAGCACCC
This 65-nucleotide transfer RNA is filed under the name Ictidomys tridecemlineatus (thirteen-lined ground squirrel). Its description in RNAcentral is "Spermophilus tridecemlineatus (thirteen-lined ground squirrel) tRNA". It matches the Rfam family "tRNA". Rfam says of the family: Transfer RNA (tRNA) molecules are approximately 80 nucleotides in length. Their secondary structure includes four short double-helical elements and three loops (D, anti-codon, and T loops). Further hydrogen bonds mediate the characteristic L-shaped molecular structure. tRNAs have two regions of fundamental functional importance: the anti-codon, which is responsible for specific mRNA codon recognition, and the 3' end, to which the tRNAs corresponding amino acid is attached (by aminoacyl-tRNA synthetases). tRNAs cope with the degeneracy of the genetic code in two manners: having more than one tRNA (with a specific anti-codon) for a particular amino acid; and 'wobble' base-pairing, i.e. permitting non-standard base-pairing at the 3rd anti-codon position. The record is from Rfam by way of RNAcentral. Lineage: Eukaryota; Metazoa; Chordata; Mammalia; Rodentia; Sciuridae.